UAAAUGGACUCAAAGGCAGUAUUUGAUAUUUCCAUUUAUAUUAUUUAUUAAUUAAAAAUUAAUAAAUAAGGGAAUAAAAAUAGAAUUGACAUUUA
Molecule: transfer-messenger RNA, 95 nt
Filed under: Phytophthora katsurae
Lineage: Eukaryota; Oomycota; Peronosporomycetes; Peronosporales; Peronosporaceae
Also listed under: 1 other name
Description: Mitochondrion-encoded tmRNA
Rfam family: Mitochondrion-encoded tmRNA
Source: Rfam by way of RNAcentral